AGUCGAACGGCAGCACGGACUUCGGUCUGGUGGCGAGUGGCGAACGGGUGAGUAAUGUAUCGGAACGUGCCUAGUAGCGGGGGAUAACUACGCGAAAGCGGCUAAUACCGCAUACGCCCUUCGGGGGAAAGCGGGGGACCUUCGGGCCUCGCACUAUUAGAGCGGCCGAUAUCGGAUUAGCUAGGUUGGUGGGGGUAACGGCUCACCAAGGCGACGAUCCGUAGCUGGUUUGAGAGGACGACCAGCCACACACUGGGACUGAGACACGGCCCAGACUCCUACGGGAGGCAGCAGUGGGGAAUUUUGGACAAUGGGGGAAACCCUGAUCCAGCCAUCCCGCGUGUGCGAUGAAGGCCUUCGGGUUGUAAAGCACUUUUGGCAGGAAAGAAACGGCACGGGAUAAUACCCCCGUGCAACUGACGGUACCUGCAGAAUAAGCACCGAAGCAACUACGUGCCAGCAGCCGCGUAAUACGUAGGGUGCAAGCGUUAAUCGGAAUUACUGGGCGUAAAAGCGUGCGCAGGCGGUUCGGAAAGAAAGAUGAAAUCCCAGAGCUUAACUUUGGAACUGCAUUUUUAACUACCGAGCUAGGAGGUGUCAGAGGGAGGUGGAAUUCCGCGUGUAGCAGUGAAAUGCGUAGAUAUGCGGAGGAACACCGAUGGCGAAGGCAGCCUCCUGGGAUAACACUGACGCUUCGCGCACGAAAGCGUGGGGAGCAACAGGAUUAGAUACCCUGGUAGUCCACGCCCUAAACGAUGUCAAUCUAUUGCCAGCCUCGCCCGGUAGCGCAGCUAACGCGUGAAGUUGACCGCCUGGGGAGUAUUAUUCGCAAGAUUAAAACUCAAAGGAAUUGAUUGGGACCGCACAAGCGGUGGAUGAUGUGAUUAAUUCGAUGCAACGCGAAAAACCUUACCUACUCCUGACAUGUCUGAAAUCCCGAAGAGAUCGGGGAGUGCUGCAAGAGAACCGGAACACAGGUGCUGCAUGGCUGUCGUCAGCUCGUGUCGUGAGAUGUUGGGUUAAGUCCCGCAACGAAGGCAACCCUUGUCAUUAGUUGCUACGAAAGGGCAUCGACGAGAUCACAGAAGAAACUGGAGGAAGGUGGGAUGACGUCAAGUCCUCAUGGCCCUGGCGGCAGGGCUUCACACGUCAUACAAUGGUCGGGACAGAGGGUCGCCAACCUGAGGGGGAGUCAAUCCAGAAACCCGAUCGUAGUCCGGAUCGUAGUCUGCAACUCGACUGCGUGAAGUCGGAAUCGCCAGUAAUCGCGGAUCAUAUGUCGCGGUGAAUACGUUCCCGGUCUUGCACACCGCCCGUCACACCAUGGGAGUGGCUUUACCAGAAGUAGUUAGCCUAACCCGUAUGAGGGCGAUUACCACGGUAGGAUUCAUGGACUGGGGUGAAGUCGUAACAAGGUAG
RNAcentral lists this ribosomal RNA (1419 nucleotides) under uncultured Bordetella sp. Its description in RNAcentral is "partial 16S-23S ribosomal RNA intergenic spacer". It matches the Rfam family "Bacterial small subunit ribosomal RNA". Lineage: Bacteria; Pseudomonadati; Pseudomonadota; Betaproteobacteria; Burkholderiales; Alcaligenaceae. The record is from RNAcentral.